RNAcentral lists this ribosomal RNA (637 nucleotides) under uncultured bacterium. RNAcentral describes it as "bacterial SSU rRNA". It matches the Rfam family "Bacterial small subunit ribosomal RNA", at positions 607 to 1244 of the family's 1533-position model. The record is from RNAcentral.
GCUCAACCGAGGAAGUGCUUCGAAAACUGGUAAACUUGAGUGCAGAAGAGGAAAGUGGAACUCCAUGUGUAGCGGUGGAAUGCGUAGAUAUAUGGAAGAACACCAGUGGCGAAGGCGGCUUUCUGGUCUGUAACUGACGCUGAGAUUCGAAAGCAUGGGUAGCAAACAGGAUUAGAUACCCUGGUAGUCCAUGCCGUAAACGAUGAGUACUAAGUGUUGGAGGGUUUCCGCCCUUCAGUGCUGCAGCUAACGCAUUAAGCACUCCGCCUGGGGAGUACGACCGCAAGGUUGAAACUCAAAGGAAUUGACGGGGGCCCGCACAAGCGGUGGAGCAUGUGGUUUAAUUCGAAGCAACGCGAAGAACCUUACCAGGUCUUGACAUACCAUGAAAAGCUUAGAGAUAAGUCUUUCCCUUCGGGGACAUGGAUACAGGUGGUGCAUGGUUGUCGUCAGCUCGUGUCGUGAGAUGUUGGGUUAAGUCCCGCAACGAGCGCAACCCUUAUUAUCAGUUGCCAGCAUUCAGUUGGGCACUCUGGUGAGACUGCCGGUGACAAACCGGAGGAAGGUGGGGACGACGUCAAAUCAUCAUGCCCCUUAUGACCUGGGCUACACACGUGCUACAAUGGUCGGUACAACG